RNAcentral lists this long non-coding RNA (395 nucleotides) under Malus domestica (apple). RNAcentral's name for it is "long non-coding RNA (MDOM_LNC006402)". Lineage: Eukaryota; Viridiplantae; Streptophyta; Magnoliopsida; Rosales; Rosaceae. The record is from RNAcentral.
GAAAAUGUCAAAUUAAAGACAACAAACAAAAGAAAGACCACACCCCUCAACAAUCCCAUGGCUACCAUGUUCUCACCCUCAACCUUCUCCUCCACCACCACCACAGCCACCAACACCACCAUCACAUCUCCAAAACCACCCCCAACUCCACUACCCCCAAGAUCCCACCUCCCCAUCCCACCCUCCAAACCACUCCUAAGUACCUUAACCACCACACUAACUGCCACCGCCGCUGCGGCUGCCAUCCUAACCGCCUCUCCACCCUCAUUAGCAGGCCCCACAGCAACAACUUACCAAAUCUACUACGGCACUGCUGCCAGCGCGGCCAACUAUGGCGGUUACGGUGGCAACUCCGACAAGAAAGCCUCCGCUGAGUAUGUCUAUGAUGUGCCAGA